RNAcentral lists this ribosomal RNA (352 nucleotides) under uncultured bacterium. RNAcentral describes it as "bacterial SSU rRNA". It matches the Rfam family "Bacterial small subunit ribosomal RNA", at positions 8 to 350 of the family's 1533-position model. The record is from RNAcentral.
AGAGUUUGAUCAUGGCUCAGGAUGAACGCUAGCUACAGGCUUAACGCAUGCAAGUCGAGGGGAAACGACAUCGAAAGCUUGCUUUUGAUGGGCGUCGACCGGCGCACGGGUGAGUAACGCGUAUCCAACCUGCCCAUCACUUGGGGAUAACCUUGCGAAAGUAAGACUAAUACCCAAUGAUAUCUCUAGAAGACAUCUGAAAGAGAUUAAGGAUUUAUCGGUGAUGGAUGGGGAUGCGUCUGAUUAGCUUGUUGGCGGGGUAACGGCCACCAAGGCUACGAUCAGUAGGGGUUCUGAGAGGAAGGUCCCCCANAUUGGAACUGAGACACGGUCCAAACUCCUACGGGAGGCA